ACACGGACCAAGGAGUGCAAGAGGCGUGCGAGUCUUUGGGGUUGUCAAACCCUCGGGCGGAAUGAAAGUGAAGGGGACUCCGGUCUCCGAGGCGAGAGCUCGCUCCCAGUGCGGGCGCAUCGUCGACCGAUCCCAGGCUACGCUGUGGCGGGAUUCGAGUGAGAGCGUGCCUGUUGCGACCCGAAAGAUGGUGAACUAUGCCUGAAUAGGGCGAAGCCAGAGGAAACUCUGGUGGAAGCUCGCAGCGGUUCUGACGUGCAAAUCGAUCGUCAAAUUUGGGUAUAGGGGCGAAAGACUAAUCGAACCGUCUAGUAGCUGGUUCCCUCCGAAGUUUCCCCCAGGAUAGCUGGAGCCCGGUGCAGUUUUAUCAGGUAAAGCGAAUGAUUAGAGGUCUUGGGGUUGAAACAACCUCAACCUAUUCUCAAACUUUAAAUGGGUAAGAAGCUCGGCUUGCUCAACUGAAGUCGGGCGUGGAAUGCCGGGGCUCCUAGUGGGCCAUUUUUGGUAAGCAGAACUGGCGAUGCGGGAUGAACCGAACGYCGGGUUAAGGUGCCCGAAUCGACGCUCAUCAGACACCAUAAAAGGUGUUGGUUGAUUUAGACAGCAGGACGGUGGCCAUGGAAGUCGGAAUCCGCUAAGGAGUGUGUAACAACU
This 654-nucleotide ribosomal RNA is filed under the name Raspailia agnata. RNAcentral's name for it is "eukaryotic LSU rRNA". It matches the Rfam family "Eukaryotic large subunit ribosomal RNA", at positions 659 to 1290 of the family's 3401-position model. The record is from RNAcentral. Lineage: Eukaryota; Metazoa; Porifera; Demospongiae; Axinellida; Raspailiidae.